Molecule: ribosomal RNA, 403 nt
Filed under: Verrucomicrobiota bacterium
Lineage: Bacteria; Pseudomonadati; Verrucomicrobiota
Description: Verrucomicrobia bacterium partial 16S ribosomal RNA
Rfam family: Bacterial small subunit ribosomal RNA
Source: RNAcentral
UGGGGAAUCUUGCACAAUGGGGGCAACCCUGAUGCAGCGACGCCGCGUGAGCGAUGAAGGUUUUCGAAUCGUAAAGCUCUGUCCUAUGGGAAGAUAAUGACGGUACCAUAGGAGGAAGCCCCGGCUAACUACGUGCCAGCAGCCGCGGUAAUACGUAGGGGGCGAGCGUUGUUCGGAAUUACUGGGCGUAAAGGGUUCGCAGGCGGCAUGGCAAGUCCGAUGUAAAAGGCGAAGGCUCAACCUUCGUAAGCAUCGGAAACUGUCAAGCUAGAGUGAAGGAGAGGCAAGUGGAAUUCCUAGUGUAGCGGUGGAAUGCGUAGAUAUUAGGAGGAAUACCGGUGGCGAAGGCGACUUGCUGGGCUUCAACUGACGCUGAGGAACGAAAGCGUGGGUAGCAAACAGG